Molecule: ribosomal RNA, 492 nt
Filed under: uncultured bacterium
Lineage: Bacteria
Description: partial 16S ribosomal RNA
Rfam family: Bacterial small subunit ribosomal RNA
Source: RNAcentral
AGUGAACGCUGGCGGUAGGCCUAACACAUGCAAGUCGAACGGCAGCACAGUAAGUGCUUGCUCUUACGGGUGGCGAGUGGCGGACGGGUGAGGAAUACAUCGGAAUCUACUUUUUCGUGGGGGAUAACGUAGGGAAACUUACGCUAAUACCGCAUACGACCUACGGGUGAAAGCAGUGGAUCUUCGGACCUUGCGCGAUUGAAUGAGCCGAUGUCGGAUGAGCUAGUUGGCGGGGUAAAGGCCCACCAAGGCGACGAUCCGUAGCUGGUCUGAGAGGAUGAUCAGCCACACUGGAACUGAGACACGGUCCAGACGCCUACGGGAGGGAGCAGUGGGGAAUAUUGGACAAUGGGCGCAAGCCUGAUCCAGCCAUACCGCGUGGGUGAAGAAGGCCUUCGGGUUGGAAAGCCCUGUUGUUGGGAAAGAAAAGCAGCAGGUUAAGACCCCGCUGUUCUGACGGUAACCAAAGAAGAAGCACCGGCUAACUUCGUG